GCCCCUAUAGCUCAGGGGAUAGAGCACCGCCCUCCGGAGGCGGGAGCGCAGGUUCGAAUCCUGCUAGGGGCG
Molecule: transfer RNA, 72 nt
Filed under: Aquiluna sp.
Lineage: Bacteria; Bacillati; Actinomycetota; Actinomycetes; Micrococcales; Microbacteriaceae
Also listed under: 2 other names
Description: tRNA-Arg
Rfam family: tRNA
About the family: Transfer RNA (tRNA) molecules are approximately 80 nucleotides in length.
Source: RNAcentral